GGAAGUAAAAGUCGUAACAAGGUUUCCGUAGGUGAACCUGCGGAAGGAUCAUUACCGAGUGAGGGCCCUCUGGGUCCAACCUCCCAACCCGUGUCUACUGUACCCGUGUUGUUUCGGCGGGCCCGCCGGGGGCUUCUGUCCCUGGCCGCCGGGGGGCCAUCUACCGCGCCCCCGGGCCCGCGCCCGCCGGAGACCUUCGCGAACGCUGUCUUGAACAAAGGUUGCAGUCUGAGUGAAAAGCAUAAUCGUCAAAACUUUCAACAACGGAUCUCUUGGUUCCGGCAUCGAUGAAGAACGCAGCGAAAUGCGAUAAGUAAUGUGAAUUGCAGAAUUCCGUGAAUCAUCGAAUCUUUGAACGCACAUUGCGCCCUCUGGCAUUCCGGGGGGCAUGCCUGUCCGAGCGUCAUUUCUGCCCCUCAAGCACGGCUUGUGUGUUGGGCCGCCGUCCCCCUCGGGGACGGGCCCGAAAGGCAGCGGCGGUGCCGCGUUCCGGUCCUUGAGCGUAUGGGGCUCUGUCACCCGCUCUGGAGGUCCGGCCGGUGCCUGCCCACCCGUCAAUCUUCUUCCAAGGUUGACCUCGGAUCAGGUAGGGAUACCCGCUGAACUUAAGCAUAUCAAUAAGCGGAGGA
RNAcentral lists this ribosomal RNA (629 nucleotides) under Rasamsonia byssochlamydoides. RNAcentral's name for it is "eukaryotic LSU rRNA". The stretch from base 253 to 406 matches the Rfam family "5.8S ribosomal RNA". The record is from RNAcentral. Lineage: Eukaryota; Fungi; Ascomycota; Eurotiomycetes; Eurotiales; Trichocomaceae.